CUACAGAGGGUGCAAGCGUUAAUCGGAGUGACUGGGCGUAAAGGGCGUGUAGGUGGAUAGAUAAGUUAUGUGUGAAAUAUCCGGGCUUAACCUGGAGGGGUCAUGUAAUACUGUUGAUCUAGAGUAGAGCAGAGGGAAGUAGAAUUUCCGGUGUAGCGGUGAAAUGCGUAGAGAUCGGAAGGAAUACCAGUGGCGAAGGCGGCUUCCUGGGCUCAUACUGACACUGAGGCGCGAAAGCGUGGGUAGCAAACAGGAUUAGAAACCCUAGUAGUCC
RNAcentral lists this ribosomal RNA (274 nucleotides) under uncultured bacterium. Its description in RNAcentral is "partial 16S ribosomal RNA". It matches the Rfam family "Bacterial small subunit ribosomal RNA", at positions 523 to 796 of the family's 1533-position model. The record is from RNAcentral.